GAUGAACGCUGGCGGCGUGCUUAACACAUGCAAGUCGAACGGUAAGGCCCUUCGGGGUACACGAGUGGCGAACGGGUGAGUAACACGUGGGUGAUCUGCCCUGCACUUCGGGAUAAGCCUGGGAAACUGGGUCUAAUACCGGAUAGGACCACUGCCUGCAUGGGUGGUGGUGGAAAGCUUUUGCGGUGUGGGAUGGGCCCGCGGCCUAUCAGCUUGUUGGUGGGGUGAUGGCCUACCAAGGCGACGACGGGUAGCCGGCCUGAGAGGGUGACCGGCCACACUGGGACUGAGAUACGGCCCAGACUCCUACGGGAGGCAGCAGUGGGGAAUAUUGCACCAUGGGCGCAAGCCUGAUGCAGCGACGCCGCGUGAGGGAUGACGGCCUUCGGGUUGUAAACCUCUUUCAGCACCGACGAAGCGCAAGUGACGGUAGGUGCAGAAGAAGGACCGGCCAACUACGUGCCAGCAGCCGCGGUAA
RNAcentral lists this ribosomal RNA (478 nucleotides) under uncultured bacterium. RNAcentral's name for it is "partial 16S ribosomal RNA". It matches the Rfam family "Bacterial small subunit ribosomal RNA", at positions 28 to 523 of the family's 1533-position model. The record is from RNAcentral.